AUGGAACGAGUGGGAGAUGUCAUGGUCGCCCGCGGAAGCUCCGUCGUCACCGGGAUCGUUCCUCCGGCCUCGGCCCCGAAUCCGCGCAUCCUUGACGUUUCCCGCGCCUCUGCCUGCGUUGCUGCAUCGCCAGAGGUCGCCUCACGGCGCCAAGUUCACCUUCGCCGCUCCCCGGCAACAACGCUGCUGCCUCCCCUGUGCUGCUUCUCUUGCCCGAGCUCCUCAAGUCCGGCCGCCGGAGAUCCCUCGCAUCAAGCCGCCGCCGCUUCAAUCGCGCGACGCUGCGCCUUCGCCAAGCUCCGCCAUCGCGCCCUGCUUCCCCUGUUUCGAGCAGACGAACAAGGCAGCCAUGGCCCUGUUUGA
RNAcentral lists this ribosomal RNA (363 nucleotides) under Triticum aestivum (bread wheat). RNAcentral's name for it is "partial small subunit ribosomal RNA". Lineage: Eukaryota; Viridiplantae; Streptophyta; Magnoliopsida; Poales; Poaceae. The record is from RNAcentral.